RNAcentral lists this ribosomal RNA (432 nucleotides) under uncultured bacterium. RNAcentral's name for it is "partial 16S ribosomal RNA". It matches the Rfam family "Bacterial small subunit ribosomal RNA", at positions 29 to 507 of the family's 1533-position model. The record is from RNAcentral.
ACGAACGCUGGCGGCAUGCCUAACCCCUGCCAGUCGCACGAGACCUUCGGGUCUAGUGGCGCACGGGUGCGUAACGCGUGGGAACCUGCCCUUAGGUUCGGAAUAACUCCCCGAAAGGGGUGCUAAUACCGGAUAAUGUCUUCGGACCAAAGAUUUAUCGCCUUUGGAUGGGCCCGCGUUGGAUUAGCUAGUUGGUAGGGUAAAAGCCUACCAAGGCGACGAUCCAUAGCUGGUCUGAGAGGAUGAUCAGCCACACUGGGACUGAGACACGGCCCAGACUCCUACGGGAGGCAGCAGUGGGGAAUAUUGGACAAUGGGCGAAAGCCUGAUCCAGCAAUGCCGCGUGAGUGAUGAAGGCCUUAGGGUUGUAAAGCUCUUUUACCCGGGAUGAUAAUGACAGUACCGGGAGAAUAAGCUCCGGCUAACUCCGUG